UGGGGAAUAUUGCACAAUGGGCGCAAGCCUGAUGCAGCCAUGCCGCGUGUGUGAAGAAGGCCUUCGGGUUGUAAAGCACUUUCAGCGGGGAGGAAGGCGUUAAGGUUAAUAACCUUGGCGACUGACGUUACCCGCAGAAGAAGCACCGGCUAACUCCGUGCCAGCAGCCGCGGUAAUACGGAGGGUGCAAGCGUUAAUCGGAAUUACUGGGCGUAAAGCGCACGCAGGCGGUCUGUCAAGUCGGAUGUGAAAUCCCCGGGCUCAACCUGGGAACUGCAUUCGAAACUGGCAGGCUAGAGUCUUGUAGAGGGGGGUAGAAUUCCAGGUGUAGCGGUGAAAUGCGUAGAGAUCUGGAGGAAUACCGGUGGCGAAGGCGGCCGCCUGGACAAAGACUGACGCUCAGGUGCGAAAGAGUGGGGAGCAAACAGG
RNAcentral lists this ribosomal RNA (429 nucleotides) under Chloroflexota bacterium. RNAcentral describes it as "Chloroflexi bacterium partial 16S ribosomal RNA". It matches the Rfam family "Bacterial small subunit ribosomal RNA", at positions 355 to 776 of the family's 1533-position model. The record is from RNAcentral. Lineage: Bacteria; Bacillati; Chloroflexota.